Molecule: unclassified non-coding RNA, 265 nt
Filed under: Hevea brasiliensis (rubber tree)
Lineage: Eukaryota; Viridiplantae; Streptophyta; Magnoliopsida; Malpighiales; Euphorbiaceae
Source: RNAcentral
GGGAAAUUUUUCAAUAAAGGAAUGUUCCGAAUUUACCAGUUUCUAGAGACUAUCCGGUUGCAAAAAAGAAGGAAAGGUAUUGAAUAACUCGAAGAAGGAGCCGAAACGGCAUCUGGUAGUUAAGUAGUUAUGUUAUCCCUUGGGUAUUCAUCUCCAUAGCCCUCCCUUGGUUCAAGGUCAGUUAUGAGUGAAAGAAGCCAAGGUGGCGAGCUAAGGUUUUUUCCCCAUUCAAGGAAGGAGUUUAUGAGUUCGCUUUCCCUCUUUU